UUAAAAAGUGGAUGGCACCGCAUCCCGAACAUGCUUGCAUUGACUACCCUGAGCAACAAUGCAAGCAUGUUCGGGAUGCGGUUUUCUCCCUUGAAAU
This 97-nucleotide non-coding RNA is filed under the name Schistosoma japonicum. Lineage: Eukaryota; Metazoa; Platyhelminthes; Trematoda; Strigeidida; Schistosomatidae. The record is from RNAcentral.